Non-coding RNA from Chlamydotis undulata (Houbara bustard), 82 nucleotides. The record is from Rfam. NCBI's taxonomy places the organism in Eukaryota, Metazoa, Chordata, Aves, Otidiformes, Otididae.
GCUGUGAUGGCCGAGCGGUGAAGGCGUUGGACUUGAAAUCCAAUGGGGAUUCCCUGCGCAGGUUCAAAUCCUGCUCACAGCG